Molecule: ribosomal RNA, 478 nt
Filed under: uncultured bacterium
Lineage: Bacteria
Description: partial 16S ribosomal RNA
Rfam family: Bacterial small subunit ribosomal RNA
Source: RNAcentral
GACGAACGCUGGCGGCGUGCUUAACACAUGCGAGUCGAACGGUAAGGCCCUUCGGGGUACACGAGUGGCGAACGGGUGAGUAACACGUGGGUGAUCUGCCCUGCACUUCGGGAUAAGCCUGGGAAACUGGGUCUAAUACCGGAUAGGACCACUGCCUGCAUGGGUGGUGGUGGAAAGCUUUUGCGGUGUGGGAUGGGCCCGCGGCCUAUCAGCUUGUUGGUGGGGUGAUGGCCUACCAAGGCGACGACGGGUAGCCGGCCUGAGAGGGUGACCGGCCACACUGGGACUGAGAUACGGCCCAGACUCCUACGGGAGGCAGCAGUGGGGAAUAUUGCACAAUGGGCGCAAGCCUGAUGCAGCGACGCCGCGUGAGGGAUGACGGCCUUCGGGUUGUAAACCUCUUUCAGCACCGACGAAGCGCAAGUGACGGUAGGUGCAGAAGAAGGGCCGGCCAACUACGUGCCAGCAGCCGCGGUAA